UUAAAUAAAUUAGUUUCUGUUUUGAAAUUUUGUCUUAAGUGUUGAGCUUUUGAUUGAAAUUCUGAUUUCUUCCUUUAUUUUUCUGCCAUUUUUUUCAUAUUGGUUAUGAAUGUCAAGAAACAAACUUGAUCCAACUGAAUUCAUUCUAAUACAACAUGUACAAUAGGAUGCGCUUGAAUAUAGAUACCAAAAUCACAUUAGAAUGGUGACUAUAUUUUACCUCAGGUCAUUCACAGUUACUUUUGUAUGCAAAGUGAUAGGAAUGUAAUGACCAUAUGUAGACAUUUAAAAAAAAAAAAAAAUUCAGAGAGUAUAUCAAGUGACUAAUGGAGAAUAACAAGCUUAGAUGACAGUCAGAAACAAUAGUAUUAGUGAACUGAGCAUCCUGAAUGGUUAAUGUGAUGGAGGCCAGCUACAUACCCCUCAUUUCUAUACCCCCUUAUACCUGUAAUUAUAUUUUGGUCUUUACAUUUUCUAUCACUCAGUUAUACAUUUAUUGUCAGUUUCUUCAUUCUGACACACAAAGUAGCUCUCUCUUUAUGAAUUUAUACAUUAUAAAACCAAGAAGCUAAAUAAUUUUUUCAGUCAUUUUAUAUGUCUGUUCCAACUUUUUACAGUAUGAAACAAACUAUUGCAAGAUACAACAAGUGUGACGAGUCUUCAGAGACCGCUUUGGUAGAAUCAAUCGCAGAGGGACUGUUCUGAUUCUUUUUUUGAGCUUGCCCUAUGUGCAGAAAAAUUGCAAGAGAUUUGACAGAAGCAUCAUUAUCAGGUGCAUGAUUGUGUACAGUAGCAGCUCUUGCCAUGAUGUUUUUAACUUGGAAUGAUAGGGAAAGCUUUUUUGAAGCGGCUGAAAGUGUUCCUGGGGUUUUGGAUGAAAGAAAGCAGGGAAGUUUUGAUUCUCUCUGAUAUGAAUGUAUUCCUUGAUUAAUGACUAAGAUUGCUUUUGCUACAGUCUUGCAAUUUCAAUUUCAAAAGUGAAGUAGAAUAAAACUUCUGGAUUCUGCCUUACAUGACAGAUUUUGUCUGACCACUUUGGUUGCAAUUUUUGCAUCCCUUGGAUUUUCAUUUAAUGCCAUGGAGAUUGGUGAAUGAGAUUCAUUGAGCUGCUAUGCAAGCUCUUGAUGAGCUCGAGUUAGAGCGAGUUUUAGGAUGAUACUGAAUGUUGGAUUAGCUUGGCAGUAUUGGUGGUUUGGUGCAAGAGUAACUUUAUUUGUUCUUGCCUCUCUAUUCCAGACAUCAUUCGCCAUAUGUAUCAAUCAGUUCAAAAUCCCUCUGUGAAUUUCAGUAUUGGUGGAUAGCAUACAGUCACAUCAUGAAAAGGUCUCCCACUUCCAAUGUCAUGACCGAGACAGAAAUAGGAAGACUUUGAGAAAUACAGAGGAUGCUUAUGCAGAUUGCAGAUUAAAGUUUUGAGUUUUGAAAUUUUUUCUGAUGCAAAAACUAUUAAGGUACAUUUUACAUGACUUCCCAGAACCUUCCUACACCAUGCAUCCUAUGCAAAUAGAAGUUGUCUAUAGAUUUGUAAACUUUGGCAUUAAUAAUACAAAACGUACUCCUUUUUCUAAUGGUUGCUAUUGUAUGGUAUAUUUUAGGAGGAUUUAUCAGCGCGG
Long non-coding RNA from Rosa chinensis, 1613 nucleotides. RefSeq lists it as uncharacterized. Lineage: Eukaryota; Viridiplantae; Streptophyta; Magnoliopsida; Rosales; Rosaceae. The record is from RefSeq and is a predicted model, not a curated record. The transcript has 5 exons.